AUUGAACGCUGGCGGCAUGCUUUACACAUGCAAGUCGAACGGUAACAGGCCUUCGGGUGCUGACGAGUGGCGAACGGGUGAGUAAUGCAUCGGAACGUACCCAGAGGUGGGGGAUAACGCAGCGAAAGCUGUGCUAAUACCGCAUGUGAUCUGAGGAUGAAAGCGGGGGACCGAGCAGCAAUGUUUGGCCUCGCGGCCUUGGAGCGGCCGAUGUCGGAUUAGCCAGUUGGUGGGGUAAAGGCCUACCAAGGCGACGAUCCGUAGCUGGUCUGAGAGGACGGCCAGCCACACUGGGACUGAGACACGGCCCAGACUCCUACGGGAGGCAGCAGUGGGGAAUUUUGGACAAUGGGCGAAAGCCUGAUCCAGCAAUGCCGCGUGCGGGAAGAAGGCCUUCGGGUUGUAAACCGCUUUUGGCAGGAACGAAACGGUGUCCGCUAAUACCGGGCGCUAAUGACGGUACCUGCAGAAUAAGCACCGGCUAACUACGUG
Molecule: ribosomal RNA, 492 nt
Filed under: uncultured bacterium
Lineage: Bacteria
Description: partial 16S ribosomal RNA
Rfam family: Bacterial small subunit ribosomal RNA
Source: RNAcentral